RNAcentral lists this ribosomal RNA (253 nucleotides) under uncultured bacterium. RNAcentral's name for it is "partial 16S ribosomal RNA". It matches the Rfam family "Bacterial small subunit ribosomal RNA", at positions 524 to 776 of the family's 1533-position model. The record is from RNAcentral.
UACGUAGGGUGCGAGCGUUGUCCGGAAUUAUUGGGCGUAAAGAGCUCGUAGGCGGUUUGUCGCGUCUGCUGUGAAAUCCCGAGGCUCAACCUCGGGCUUGCAGUGGGUACGGGCAGACUAGAGUGUGGUAGGGGAGACUGGAAUUCCUGGUGUAGCGGUGAAAUGCGCAGAUAUCAGGAGGAACACCGAUGGCGAAGGCAGGUCUCUGGGCCACUACUGACGCUGAGAAGCGAAAGCAUGGGGAGCGAACAGG